GGAAGGUGGGGAUGACGUCAAGUCAUCAUGCCCCUUAUGCCCAGGGCUGCAAACACGCUACAAUGGCCGGUACAGAGGGCUGCGAACCCGCGAGGGUAAGCGAAUCCCACAAAGCCGGUCUCAGUUCGGAUUGGAGUCUGCAACUCGACUCCAUGAAGCCGGAGUUGCUAGUAAUCCUGGAUCAGCACGCCAGGGUGAAUACGUUCCCGGGCCUUGU
Molecule: ribosomal RNA, 217 nt
Filed under: uncultured Bolidomonas
Lineage: Eukaryota; Bolidophyceae
Description: partial Bacterial small subunit ribosomal RNA
Rfam family: Bacterial small subunit ribosomal RNA
Source: RNAcentral